UGGGGAAUAUUGCACAAUGGGGGAAACCCUGAUGCAGCGACGCCGCGUGAGCGAAGAAGGUUUUCGAAUCGUAAAGCUCUGUCUUAUGGGAAGAUAAUGACGGUACCAUAGGAGGAAGCCCCGGCUAACUACGUGCCAGCAGCCGCGGUAAUACGUAGGGGGCAAGCGUUGUCCGGAAUCACUGGGCGUAAAGGGUUCGCAGGCGGAAAUGCAAGUCAGUUGUGAAAGGCAGAGGCUCAACCUCUGUAAGCAAUUGAAACUGUGUUUCUUGAGAUGUGGAGAGGCAAGUGGAAUUCCUAGUGUAGCGGUGAAAUUCGUAGAGAUUAGGAAGAAUACCGGUGGCGAAGGCGGCUUGCUUGACACAAACUGACGCUGAGGAACGAAAGCGUGGGUAGCAAACAGG
RNAcentral lists this ribosomal RNA (403 nucleotides) under Fusobacteriota bacterium. Its description in RNAcentral is "Fusobacteria bacterium partial 16S ribosomal RNA". It matches the Rfam family "Bacterial small subunit ribosomal RNA", at positions 355 to 776 of the family's 1533-position model. Lineage: Bacteria; Fusobacteriati; Fusobacteriota. The record is from RNAcentral.